AUUGAACGCUGGCGGCAGGCUUAACACAUGCAAGUCGAGCGGUAGCACAGGGGAGCUUGCUCCCUGGGUGACGAGCGGCGGACGGGUGAGUAAUGUCUGGGAAACUGCCUGAUGGAGGGGGAUAACUACUGGAAACGGUAGCUAAUACCGCAUAACGUCGCAAGACCAAAGAGGGGGACCUUCGGGCCUCUUGCCAUCAGAUGUGCCCAGAUGGGAUUAGCUAGUAGGUGGGGGUAAUGGCUCACCUAGGCGACGAUCCCUAGCUGGUCUGAGAGGAUGACCAGCCACACUGGAACUGAGACACGGUCCAGACUCCUACGGGAGGCAGCAGUGGGGAAUAUUGCACAAUGGGCGCAAGCCUGAUGCAGCCAUGCCGCGUGUGUGAAGAAGGCCUUCGGGUUGUAAAAGCACUUUCAGCGAGGAGGAAGGUGGUGAGCUUAAUACGUUCAUCAAUUGACGUUACUCGCAGAAGAAGCACCGGCUAACUCCGUGCCAGCAGCCGCGGUAAUACGGAGGGUGCAAGCGUUAAUCGGAAUUACUGGGCGUAAAGCGCACGCAGGCGGUUUGUUAAGUCAGAUGUGAAAUCCCCGGGCUCAACCUGGGAACUGCAUUUGAAACUGGCAAGCUAGAGUCUCGUAGAGGGGGGGUAGAAUUCCAGGUGUAGCGGUGAAAUGCGUAGAGAUCUGGAGGAAUACCGGUGGCGAAGGCGGCCCCUGGACGAAGACUGACGCUCAGGUGCGAAAGCGUGGGGAGCAAACAGGAUUAGAUACCCUGGUAGUCCACGCUGUAAACGAUGUCGAUUUGGAGGUUGUGCCCUUGAGGCGUGGCUUCCGGAGCUAACGCGUUAAAUCGACCGCCUGGGGAGUACGGCCGCAAGGUUAAAACUCAAAUGAAUUGACGGGGGCCCGCACAAGCGGUGGAGCAUGUGGUUUAAUUCGAUGCAACGCGAAGAACCUUACCUACUCUUGACAUCCAGAGAACUUUCCAGAGAUGGAUUGGUGCCUUCGGGAACUCUGAGACAGGUGCUGCAUGGCUGUCGUCAGCUCGUGUUGUGAAAUGUUGGGUUAAGUCCCGCAACGAGCGCAACCCUUAUCCUUUGUUGCCAGCGGUUCGGCCGGGAACUCAAAGGGAGACUGCCAGUGAUAAACUGGAGGAAGGUGGGGAUGACGUCAAGUCAUCAUGGCCCCUUACGAGUAGGGCUACACACGUGCUACAAAUGGCAUAUACAAAGAGAAGCGACCUCGCGAGAGCAAGCGGACCUCAUAAAGUAUGUCGUAGUCCGGAUUGGAGUCUGCAACUCGACUCCAUGAAGUCGGAAUCGCUAGUAAUCGUAGAUCAGAAUGCUACGGUGAAUACGUUCCCGGGCCUUGUACACACCGCCCGUCACACCAUGGGAGUGGGUUGCAAAAGAAGUAGGUAGCUUAACCUUCGGGAGGGCGCUUACCACUUUGUGAUUCAUGACUGGGGUGAAGUCGUAACAAGGUAACCGUAGGGGAACC
This 1499-nucleotide ribosomal RNA is filed under the name Serratia marcescens. RNAcentral's name for it is "bacterial SSU rRNA". It matches the Rfam family "Bacterial small subunit ribosomal RNA". The record is from RNAcentral. Lineage: Bacteria; Pseudomonadati; Pseudomonadota; Gammaproteobacteria; Enterobacterales; Yersiniaceae.